This 433-nucleotide ribosomal RNA is filed under the name uncultured bacterium. RNAcentral's name for it is "partial 16S ribosomal RNA". It matches the Rfam family "Bacterial small subunit ribosomal RNA", at positions 29 to 507 of the family's 1533-position model. The record is from RNAcentral.
AACGAACGCUGGCGGCAUGCCUAACACAUGCAAGUCGAACGAGACCUUCGGGUCUAGUGGCGCACGGGUGCGUAACGCGUGGGAACCUGCCCUUAGGUUCGGAAUAACUCCCCGAAAGGGGUGCUAAUACCGGAUAAUGUCUUCGGACCAAAGAUUUAUCGCCUUUGGAUGGGCCCGCGUUGGAUUAGCUAGUUGGUAGGGUAAAAGCCUACCAAGGCGACGAUCCAUAGCUGGUCUGAGAGGAUGAUCAGCCACACUGGGACUGAGACACGGCCCAGACUCCUACGGGAGGCAGCAGUGGGGAAUAUUGGACAAUGGGCGAAAGCCUGAUCCAGCAAUGCCGCGUGAGUGAUGAAGGCCUAAGGGUUGUAAAGCUCUUUUACCCGGGAUGAUAAUGACAGUACCGGGAGAAUAAGCUCCGGCUAACUCCGUG